GCAGCGGUAGUUCAGUUGGUUAGAAUACCGGCCUGUCACGCCGGGGGUCGCGGGGUCGAGCCCCGUCCGCUGCGCCA
RNAcentral lists this transfer RNA (77 nucleotides) under Acinetobacter baumannii. RNAcentral describes it as "tRNA-Asp". It matches the Rfam family "tRNA". From Rfam's summary of the family: Transfer RNA (tRNA) molecules are approximately 80 nucleotides in length. Their secondary structure includes four short double-helical elements and three loops (D, anti-codon, and T loops). Lineage: Bacteria; Pseudomonadati; Pseudomonadota; Gammaproteobacteria; Moraxellales; Moraxellaceae. The record is from RNAcentral. RNAcentral also lists the same sequence under 4 other names.